GUUCACCAGCCCGAGUCAUCCACCUGGGAGAGGGGCUGCCGGGACCUCUGGCUUCAGGACUGGAGACCCACAAGGUCAAAACUCUCUGUGAACAUGACAUCAUCUGCCCCUUUGGCUCUUCUCCCACCAGCACACACUGGAGCUUUCCAGAGGCUAGGUGAUGUGUGGUGUCACUAUCUCUCUGACAGCUAAUGGAAUUUGUGGAUUCUUCGGUAUUAAUAGCCUCUUUAAACUUUGAAUAUGAUAAAUACUGAAAGAUAUUAUCACAGCAACAAAAGAAUUUUAGGCUCCUCAACCUCAAUUAUGAAAGAGGUCCUCAAAUCAAAAUGGUUGAGAGCUGGUGUUGGGCGGGGGAGGAUGUAUCCAAUUAAACUCUUUGUAACAUUUUUAUCUUUUAGAAUUCUUAAAUAUUCACUGAAUGACAGCUUUCAGAAUUAGACCUACAUUAUUAUCCUACAUCACUUUUGUGUGUAAAAAGGAAAAUAUAAGCAAAAUAAACUUAAAGAAUUCCUACAA
This is a long non-coding RNA of Suricata suricatta (meerkat), 516 nucleotides long. RefSeq lists it as uncharacterized. The transcript has 2 exons. Lineage: Eukaryota; Metazoa; Chordata; Mammalia; Carnivora; Herpestidae. The record is from RefSeq and is a predicted model, not a curated record.